Molecule: long non-coding RNA, 617 nt
Filed under: Struthio camelus australis
Lineage: Eukaryota; Metazoa; Chordata; Aves; Struthioniformes; Struthionidae
Description: lncRNA (ENSSCUG00000005827.1)
Source: RNAcentral
UAGAAGUGAAGUUGGUUUAUCUCAUCAGUCCUGAGUAUCCGAGUUAGAUCUAGACUGUCUCUUUUCUGACUUCCUUACAUGUUGUUUUGCCACUUGUACCAGAGCAAAGUGAGUGCAGGAGCCACGCAGUCGUCACACUUCCUUAUGAUCGCACAUCACCUCAGGAAGAGUGUGCCCCUUGAUGACGCUUCGAAAGAGCCGAGGCCGAGCUCUGCGCGCACAGCCCAGCAGCUGGAAACCAGGCGGCUCUUGCGUUCCAGGCGCAAACCUACUCGCUUCCCUCCUCAGAACCUGAUUCUGCAAGAAACGAUGCAAAACUUGGUGAACUCUCUUUCCAGUUGUGUUAGAUUUCAGCGAGCUCCGAAUUUGACGUGAUGGCUUGCCCUUAAAGAGCUGGCUGCGCUUGACAAGCAUGUGGCAGUACUUCAUUAACCACCAGCAGCCCCUCCCAGCGCAGCCUCCCUUAGGUGGGGUGUUUGUUCAGCGCACGCAAUUAUCUCUCUGUCGUUCUGUCUCGUAUUGAGUCAUGUGGAAAAAUAUGAUUAAAACAUGAACAUCUACAAAUGAUUCAGAAUAACAAGAGAGGAAAGGCCAUUGUUUUUUUGCACUGACUAUAC